GUAAAACACUGUGACCUGGAGCCAGUUCUGUUUCUUACUAUAUCUGUAGCCGAUAAUCAGACCUUACACCAUAUUUUCUGCAACUGACUAAAAUUUAAAGCACAAAACCUGUACCAGUUGAUGGACCUGACAUUGAUAAACACUCAUGAAGUCAGUAUAAUUUUAAAAGCAUGUGUGUUUCUUAAAAAAGGGAGCAUAAAACGUCAGAUGAAAUAACCACGAAAAUUUGAAGAAUAGUAAUAUGGAUGACUACUGUAUGGAUGAGUACUGUUUCUUAAAAAGGGUUGUAAAAGGGUUGUAAAAUUGUAGUUUUUCUGUAGUAAAAAGUCUUUGUUUCUUUAGUUUUACAAACUGGCAAGAUACCAAGCAGCCUGUGAUAGUUCAACCUUUUCAACUCCAAACCUUUUCAACUGCCUACUGACCUGAAUAGUGACUCGCAAAGUACAGUCCAAACAUAAAGAAAAAGAAAAACUCAAACUCAUUGGACGUACACUAUCAGCCCCGUACAUGCAAGACAUCAAACCAAACCAAGACAUCAAACCAAGACAUCAAACCACACACAAUGUCUCUCCAAGCUUGAAGACACGAGAGGUAGACGUUAAGUUAAGACUCUCUGCAACGCUAAUGAAUCGGCAGCAGUUGAAGUCGGACUCUUCUCCUAGAAAGAGGUAUACAUGUACAUGUACAAUAUACUGUGAUAGGAAGUCUUGUGAUAGGAAGUCUUACUCGAUUCCACCAGCUAAGAAAACGUUAUUU
This is a long non-coding RNA of Halichondria panicea, 756 nucleotides long. RefSeq lists it as uncharacterized. The transcript has 3 exons. The record is from RefSeq and is a predicted model, not a curated record. Lineage: Eukaryota; Metazoa; Porifera; Demospongiae; Suberitida; Halichondriidae.